UAGACUCCAGCAAAUGUGCUAUCUGGUUUUAUAAAAUAGAAAAUCGGCUAUCUCUUGAUUUUCGAUGACCAUAUACAGUCAAUCACUAACACUAGCUAUCUGAUUUUAUAAAAUAACCAGGCUAUUGUGGACCUCUUCUUUUUUAAGAAGUUUUCUAUUUUAUAAAAUGACUAAACAAUAGAAAAUUUGGCUACUAAAUUUAGCCAAGCUCUUGGAGUUUUUGCUCCGAUAGAAGUAAAUUUACAAAAACCAUUGCACUGACAAGUGACAAGAUUAAGAAUGUUAUAAUGUCCCUUAACUUCAUCACAUAAUAUAAAGAUAAUAAAGAAAACAAUAAAUAAGUGAUUCAACAGAUGUACCAUGCAUUUUUCUAGUCUAGAACUAGAAGAGUUGGACUGGAGGGGUUAGGAAGAAGCAAAGAAGGAAAAGCAGGGGUGGGUGCUCUCAUCCGUUCUUCCACGAGCAGCGAGAGUCUUAGACCAAUAUUCCGGGGAAAAAAAAAAGCAUUGGCGGCCGGCCAAAGGCGGCGCCACGGAGCUCCGUUCGUCGGACCCCCAUGGGCGUGGUGGAGUCGUCGUCAAGCUCGCGCGCGCGUGAUGAGUACUGGCUGUCCCGGCCUUUGCCACGCCCUCCCAGGGACGGAGGAGGGGCGGCGCCGUGUCCUCCCUGGGCUGUCCUCGCCGGUGGACGUGGACGGCGGCGGCGGCGACUUCGUCUCCGUUGUAGUGCUCGUCGAGGCGCAGACCGCGGCCUCGAUGGAGCUACGUGGUAGUGAGCUCCAUGCUCGCUCGCCUUCCCUGCGGCGGCAUGGGCUGCCUUCCAAUGGUGUCCCUGCUGUUGCAUUUAUAGCCUGCCCUGCCCCUGACCCCUGAGAGGAUCGCAUUGGCCGGCGAUGCAUGGAUGCAUGCGGUGAUCGGUCAGGCUUUCGAUGCGGCGGCGUUAUCGGUUAUCCUCGCCGGCUCGGUGCGCGCGGGCGGGCAGUUGCUGACCGGGCAACGAACACGGCAUGGCUGUUGGGUGUUGGCUGAUCCAUCGCUGAUGCGCUUUGUUGGCCGCGGGUUCCAUGGGUGCCGAGUGCCGUUGCAUUGGAGAUCGACUUGCAUGCAACGGCUGAUCGAUCGAGCAACCCUGCAACGCUAUGGCCUAUAUAUGGGCUUUUGUUUAGGGGUGUUUUUUUUGGGGUUGACUAAAGUUUAGUCCUGUUUCAUAUUAAUUAGAAGUACUAAAUAUAGACUAAUUAUAUAACUAAUUAUAUAAAUGAAAACUAAUUCAUGAGAUGAGUCCAUCACGUUUAUGAUUAGCGAAUGUGAUGUUACAGUAAGCAUAUACUAAUUAUAGAAUAAUUAGGUUUAAUAAAUUUAUCUCGUGAUUUAGUCCUAGUUUGUGCAAUUAGUUUUAUAAUAGCCUCAUGUUUAGCAUUCCUAACUAAUAUCUAAACAUUCAAUGUGAUAUGGACUGAAGUUUAUUUCAUAUAUAGAUCCAAAUUUUCGCAUAUGGGAAAUACUUGGUUGAUUUCCACAUACUAAUUGCAGCUGGGAAGCUAUAUGAUAUGUUGUUCGUCAUAUAGUAAGUCAAUAGCGUGUAAGAGUGCAUGACCUAACAUGAAGUUGGUAGAUUACAAUUAUGCAAUAGUGGUCUUGCUUUAAGCUUAACUCUUUUGAUAAGAGCUUCUGCUGAACUAUUUUGAGUAUAAACAUAUGGAACUGAGUGCUGAACUUGAAUUCCUAAAACCAUACAAUAGUCAUUGAAAGUUUUUGAGGAAAAUUAAGUAACAUUAUUCACUCUAGUAGAUUUUUUUUGGUGUUUAGGAUAAUCUUCUUUAAGUCUAAUAACUUGAGCUAUUAGUUUGGCAAAAGUAUAGUUGCACAUGGAUAAGAGACACACGUGAGUCUAUCGUGUAAAUGCACUUAUUAGAACCAUGAAAUAUCUGAAUUGUCUACAUAAUGGAAUAAAUAGGACCACAAAUAUCACCUUAAAUUCUUUCAAAGAACUUAAGUGGUUCAGCUUUGAUCAAUAAGGUGGUCUUAAAAUCAAUUUCCUAGUGGCACAUGCAAUGCAUAUAAAAUCAGAGGAUUGUGGGAACUUAGAAAUAGCUAAGUCCUGAUCAUGGGAAUUGUUUAUAACUUUUGGCAUCAUCCCAUGCAGUGCAUAUAAAACCAGAGGAUUUUGGGAACUUAGAAAUAGUUGAGUCCUGACCAUGGGAAUUGUUUAUAACUUUUGGCAUCAUCCCUAUGCUAUGAUGACCAAGGCGAUCAUGCUAAGUUUGGAAUGUGUUGAUAUUCUAAAAAAAUUAUUUUAUAGGCAACAUGUGUUACGGUUUGAUAUAUGUAUAAUAUAUUCCAGACGGUAAAGGGGAAAUUUUCUCAAAAAUUUGUUUCCAUAUCCCGUAUCUUUGAAGAGAAGAAAUUCCUCUUUAUGUUCUUCAUGUGUCUCCACAUGAACUCUAUUUUUUUGGAUAUCUCUAUAGCUAAGUAAGGUAGAAGUUGAAUCGGGAUAUAAUAAUGCAUCUUUAAUUGUAAUUUGAGUACACAUGGGAAGUGUGAUAGUGGCACAGCUAGAGUCUACUAUCGUUGCAUCACAUCCAACAAUUGUUAGAAUAUUGUUGGUAUUUAUUACGCACUAUAGAAGAAUCAAAGAGAAAUAAUCUGCAAGCGCAUGGAUAUACUGAUGUAGCACUUUAGUCGAAAAAGAUAUCUCGAGUACCGUAUUUUAUCCACAAGAAGAAAGCAUGCGAUGACUAACCAAGACUAAACUUAACCCCAGACUAUCAAACAAGAGAAAUAAAGGGCUAUGGAGAAGAUGUCUACGAAUUCUAGUUCUAACAUGUGGUAAGUUAUGCUAAUAUUAUUCUAGAGGGGACACGCUAGGCCACAGUACUGCAGAGAAUACUCUAACAUAACAUCCAAGUCCUACCGGUCCUUACAAGCAUGAUAGGAAACUAUAAAUUCUUUGGGACGAUUGGGUCACUUUCCACGAACAAUCCUUAUCCGGCGAGUAGGAGGAUAUCUACGUGCAAUUGAGUCUAGACACCGCGUCUACACACGACAUGCAAUUCCAAUCCAAGAGCAACCAAGAAUUGAAAUACUCAAAUGAGUCACAAACUAAAGAACAAUAAUAACAACAGACUUAGUAGUAUUAGAAGUUGAACACCUAAAAAAUCUCAGAAGCAAACCCCACGAAGGAGCUUGAUCCCGCAGGUACAAGCCGAGGAAGGAGACACCGAUAGCUCCGGAGCUUCCUCCACAACUCUUCCCUCCACUCUAUCUCUCUUUAAUUCUAUAAGACUAGCCCUAAUCUCUCUAGAGGACUACAAGGCUAGACUACUCUUGAAUGCUUGGCUCUGAUCCUAACUGGAGAUAAUGAAUUAGGGUUUCCAGGAUGCUUUGCUCCAGGGGCUAGGGCAUUGCUUAGAUAGGCCGAUGGGAUGAACCGUAGCCCUCAGAUCAAACCGACCUUAAUGGACAAAGAUUAUUAAGCCUCAAAGUUGGUUUAUCCUCGAUCCGCGAGCUCUCCCCUAAUUGGUUAUGGGGGAGGGUGGGCGCCCUGCCCUACUGACUGGUGCCCCCCCUUUGAUGUGGAGUCUUCCUGGACCUUCUACAAUCUUCUUUUUCAUACAUGGUGUUUAUAUUCAUUUUGGUCCUAGAUCUUUCUUGGUUAUUUUCCUGUUUAAUCCCUGCAAAACAUGAAUACACCAAAAUUUGUGGAAUUUUUGUCAGAUAAGACCCUGAUUCUACGUUGGUGAUUCCUUUUACGCAUCUUUUGAAGUCUUGUUGGCUAGUAAAAGUAUGAGUUGUGUAACAGGGAUGGCAUUUACCUAUUCUCUAUUUAUCUAGAGCUUGAUGUACAAAUUUCUGACCUAUAUGUAUACAUUGAAUUUCCAUGUGUUCUAGCUCGUCUUUUCUGUAUUGGUUGGAUGUUCACACUACACAUGCUUUGGCUCAAUUAAAUUCCUAGAUAGAGCAAUUAACUAUUUUGCUUUAGUCUAUCACUAGUUCACUACAUGUCACUACUACACAAAAUAUUAUCCGAGACGGGCAAAAUAGAUUUACCAAGGCAGGCAUCGCAACUGCCUCGGACAUAAGGUCAUAGUAAAUAGGGCAUUUUCUGAGGUGGUUUGAUGCCCGCCUCGAUAAAUCAAAAACAAAAAAAAGGAAAAAAGCCUGUGGACAGGCUCGCUGAGCCCAUCCAUGGGCUCGCCGAGCCCAUCCACGAGCUGCCACCACCACUGUCGUUGCUCCUCAUUGUACCUCUCGGCCACCUGCCGAUGGAGCCAUGGAGGGAGGGGAGGAGGACGGAUCCGCAGUCACUGGGCUCCAACCCACUGGAACCAUGGACGUAGCCCACCUCUUCGCUGGAUCUGCGUCAUAGGGAGUGGAGGGAGGAGGUCAAAGCAUGGCCGGUGUUGCCAUGAUAACGGGGUGGAGGAGCGUCGCACGGAGAGGCCGAAUCCGGACACCACGACAUCGGAUCCGGCUACCACACCACCGAAUCCGCGCUCGCCGCCUCUAGAUCCAUGCUUGGGGAUGCCGCCAAGGGGAAGAGCUCGGGGAUGCUGCCACCUCUAGAUCCACGAUGCCGGUGAGGGAGGCUCAGGCUCAAGAGAGGGAGAGGGAGACACGACAGUGCCGCGUGAGCUCGGGCGCUCUGGCUCUAGUGACGAAGAGGGAGAAGGAGGGGGAGGGGAGGCAUUGUUUGUCUGAGUGAGAAAGAGAGGGUGAGUUCUGAGUGAACCCUAGGUUAGAAAUUCAUACUUGAGUGCCUAUCAGGCCUUAGUAUGGGCCUGUUUCGGCUUUGGCCUUUUUUCUGAGGUGGGCAAGUUAGGAGGUCCGCCUCCAAAAAUAGGAGUAUUCCUCCGUUAAUAUAUUUUAGGAGACGGUUUUUUAGUCGUCUUUGUAAAUUGAUUUUGCGAGGCGGUUCAUUGUGACCAUCACGGUUAAUAAAAAGUGGCCGCCUCGAUUAAUCCUAGGCAUUAACCGAGGCGGUUCGUAUUUCUGCCCGCCUCCGAGGCUCAUUUUAAAAUGCCUUGCAAAAGAUUUUUUGUAGUAGUGUGUUUUUCUCUAUUUGUAUGUCCAUAAAAAACUAACGAUGAAAAUGUAAAUGGACAAUGAUUUUUAUUUUUGCUUUAGUCUCGUGUACUGCUAGUUGAAUUGAUAUAUCUCUUGUUUCUUGAUCCUAUUAAAUUAGUGAACUUUGCGGCUUGGUGUACCUGUUAAGCUAGUGAACCUGUUAUAUAUGGAAUAGGCAUGCAAUUGACCUUCUUGUAUUCUUUGUGUAGUGGGUCGUUGAUUUGUUCUAGUGAAAUUUGAGAUGUGCAUGUCCACAUAUCAAUCUAGCCUUGAUGAUGAACCGGUUGGUCACUAGACCCUGAACUGAUACUAUUAGGCUAAGAUCAUGCUAGUUCACCUAUCAGUUUUAUUGAAUGCAAUUUCCUUAGUUCUUUACUGCUAGUUUUUUUUUUAAAAAAAAUUGGCAUUUUUCUCAUCUCUGUCUUUUGCAAUAGUUGUGCCCAUCUUUUUCUUCUCUAUUUCUAUCUGUACAACAGUGACAAUCAUCAGUAUCAUUAGUUCAUGUGUUUCCUUGUUUUCAAAUAGCAUCAGCUGGACAGGGUAAACGGGUAAGGCCCCUACUGUUCCAAUUUAGUUCAGUAGCAGCAGUAAGCAAUUAACUUAGUUCAGAUUUUGUUUUGGCUUGUUAUAUGUUCUUACAGUUGACAUGAAUCAAGGUGGCAGUAGCUACUGCAAUAUAUGUUCUCACUCGUGGAUUCUUGCCUUGUUAAUUGCUUGUGAACUUAGUUAAUUGCAGAAGCUAUAUGUUCUUAACACCUAGCUAAUUGCUUGUGAAUCUACCACCUUGUUAAUUUCUUGUGAAUCUACCUCCUUGUUAACUUGGCACCUUAUUAUUAGCUAUUUGCUCUUAGCAGUUAUAUAUUAACUUAUAGCAGCUAGUUAAUUGCUUGUGAAUCUUACCACCUAGUUAAUUGCCAUAUUUUAACUUAGCAGCUACAUGUUCUUAGCACCAGAUAUAUGUUUAGCACUAAAUUUUUCUCUUGUUACACGUGAAGUCGUGAUCUCAAAAAAAAAAAUUUCUCUUGUUGACACUCCAUGGAAGUACUUAAAUCAACUGGUCAAUUAUUUCUCUCUAUAUAAAGUGUGCAGUUCAAUUUUAGCCAUGGUUUAUGCAGCUCGAUCCUAGCUCCCUGUCUUGUGCUGCCUCAUUUCUCCUAUGCUGAUUUCAAUAUAGAUUAGUUACAUUGUGGAUGUUGUGAAACUAUGACAGCUAGGCUCAAACUCUUCAGUUUGACUAUUCUCUGAGCUUAGUGCACAUCUGCCGAAUGUUGUCUUUUGAUUGGUUAAUUGGAUGCUUUGAAGAUGAUGGUUGAAAUGGAUUUCUUGUAAGGUAGGCAAAUUGUACCUGCUUUUUCAUGGAUAUAUGAAUUUCAUACUUUAUUUGAGUUAUACUAUAAAUUAGCUUGUUUUUAGAGUUUUUAGGUUUGAGAAUUUACCUAUGUUUGGUUUUCUUGUAUUGAUGUUGCUUUAGGUUUGUCCUUGUCUGUAUCCCCCACUUCAUUCUACAUUCAACAAAUAUUAAUAAGUCGUUAGUCAAUACAGUAAUUUAUAUAAGUAACUCUAAAUGUGUUCUUCACAUUUUAUUAGGUUUGUGGCAUCAUAAAUGGUUUUAUGGAUGUUUUUAGGUUGAUUUUAGUUUAAAGAAGAUAAGUAAUUUCCACUAAGAUAAUGCAAAUUUGCUAGGUUAUAAAUGUUUUUUUGACAAAUUAUGAGUGCUUAUGUCGAAUUAGAAGGGAAGUUGUUUUCAAUCUUUAUGUACUGCUUUGAGAGAUUCAUUAGUUGUUGUAGAUUUGAAUGAAUAUGUUGCUUACCUGUGUUUUGUCCCCAUCUUUUUGUAUGUGAAGCUGCCUAGAUCGAUCUGGAGGUUUCUUCCUUCGCUUGAAUCCUAUAGUCAGAUCUGAUUCUUUGGUUGGUACUUCUCCCGAUUUGGAUGCUAUGUAGGCGCAGGUAAGUAUCAUUCUUUCAUUUUGGCCCUUCUAUUUCUUUUAAGAGAUGCUUUUUGACCUUCUUGGAGGGCAAGUCUAUUCUUUUUAUGUUUCACCCCUUCUUCUUUUUCUUUAUUUAAUAAAGAUUCCUCUCUGUUAGGCCUUUUGAUAUAUGCAGUUUUUCAAUUGGGAUUUUUGUGUAUUGAUUCUUAAGGCAUGAAGUCGGUACAUGCGUUUUAAUUUUGGGCUUUUUAAAGUACUAUAAGGCUUGUUGGGUUCAUUCUCUGUUAGUGACUGUUUGGUACUUUAUGUUUUUUAUUGAGCUUUGUUUUGGGCUUAUUGUCCAGUACAUGGCCUGGUAGGACCAUUUUUCUAUGAGUAACCGGUUGGUGCUUGUGCAUUUACUCCCAGCGCGUGAUAUUUAACUAGUCUCACCCUUCCAUCGGUUUUCACUCCAUGUGGUCUUCUUGGAUUUACUCCUAGUGUAUGGAUCGUUUGCCUUCUUUGCUAUUUAGGUCAGUCUCAUUGGAGUUUCAUAGGAGGUUUCAUGCAUAUUUAAGAGAAUGUCACAUCAUCAAACUGCAUGAAACGAGAAGGAGAGAGAAGGAAUUUGUUUCAUUGUCACGAAACGAGUGGGGCGGUGUUUCCAACACCACGAAACGAGAAUCAAACCCGCAUUGAGGAGCUCUGACAUUUCAUCAGAAGAGAUGGAUGAGAGAAAAGAUAGGGAGAGGAAAAGAUAGGGAUGAGAGAAAAAAUAGUAAAAUAAGCUAUGAAAUCGUGCAAUGAAACUUUGCACCGUGAGAGAACCUCAUUUCAUGUCAAUGUUUCAUGUGUUGGAAAUUGAGAGGUGCUCACCAUUGAGACUGGCCUUAUAUGGACGACCAUUUCUAUCUGCCUUUUCAAGUUCUCUUCCUUUCUUUAUAAAUCACUUGGCUUCCUCUCAGAGUUUUCUUGUUGUCUUCUCUAGCCAUCUUCUUCUCUGUGGUUCUCAAUCUUUUCUGGAUCCUGCAUGUAAGUGUUUAGAUGACUAGUAUUUUUUAAAAAAAAUCUAAGAUGUAUUUCUUGUUGGGUUGAUCUCUUCAUUUCUCUCUUUAUUCUAUUCUUGGGGUUGCGGUGUUUUUUAUAUCCUUCAAGUUUCAUUUUCUUAAAAUUACUAGAUUCUUGAAGUAUUUGUUAUUCUUUUUCUAGAUUCAUGUUUAAAAUCUAGGAUGUGCUAUUUCUAUUUAAUGUAUGUACUUGUUGAAGUAUGACACCAUGCAUGGCCACUAGAAGCAUAUUGACAUCUCGUUGAAUGAAUUGAAGACCGUGCCUUUGAUCAAUUUGCACUUGGCAUCUUUGGUAUGAGGUCCUGCUUUUCAUGCCUUCGUUUAUUUUGUGUCAAAGCCGUGAGAUGAUGUUUGAAAUGUUUUUGAUUCUACAAGAAUGUCUGUGAUUUGGAUUAGUUCUUGAUGUUUCGCAGGUAAACUAGAUCUGUUUGAAUCGUUCAUAUAUUUCAUAAAGUUUUUAGAGGUUUUGUGGUCCUGAUGUAUUUUUCGAUCUACUCAUGCCCUUAGUAGACAGAAUCAGUGACAAAUUGAUGGUAUUUAUUACAAUGUCUUGUAUUAGUACUUACAAUUUCAUAUAACUAUAUUUACAACUAGCUCUAUAGUGUAAUUUUAGUGUUAGGUUGUUGUAACCUGGGUGUAUUAUAACAUGGUUUUUGAAACUUCAUGUUAAUCUGUGGAGAAUUGUUCAGUUGUAGUUGUUUGAUUGAAUAAUAGUUUUAAUAUUUGGCUUUGUUUUUUACGGGUCAUUUGAUUUGGAUCAAAGGGUGUGUAAUUCAUAUGAUUUUUUUUUCAUCACCUGAAUUUGGAUCCUAGUUCAAAUCGGUUGAUUUGGCUUUUUGCUCAACUGAAUGAUAGGAUAGACCAAAUCAACCGAAUGAUAGGUAGACAGAUCCUAUAAUAAAACACCCCUCGCCGGAGGGACCGGGCUCUCCACUGAAGCCACUCGGGAGGAUGUCGUUGGAGAGCCGGCCUCUACAAAGGUUAAAGUUCAGGAGCCAGGGCUGUAGUCUGCGGUGGUCUGGCGACGAACUCGACGCUACUAGUCCCAGGCUGCUGGAGCCGCAGCGGUGCCGGAUCUGGUGGUGUUGAAGCCCACCAAGGUCUAGAAGUCAUACGGUGUAAAGCCCUCCCUUGGGCCGGCCGCCAGGGUGAAGGACCCCAGAGUUGGUGGUGGCGGCAGGUGCUAGGUGGACGGGCAUAACUAGUAGAGUUCGCACUGGUGGUGCCUGAGAAGAUCCAAAAGCCUGUGCGAUGCUGGAGGCGAUGACGAGGUGUUGUGUGCGGUUAUUGCCCCGGCCACGAUGAGGAUGACAAUGGUUGUGCCAUCCGUGACGACGAUAACGGCUGAAGAUGUGCCGGUGCUGCAAGCGGUUCUCUGUCAGGCGUACAACACCGACGAGCACUGGAGCGUGGCGGGUGAAGAUGGCAGUCAUGAUUGACAGUGAGUCAAAGUCCAAACUAACCUCUUCGACGGGAGUUCUUUCUUCAUCUUCUCCUCCUCGUUCUAGAGCGGUUGUAAUCGAGAGAAAGAGAAUGAAUCGAACUACACGGUAUAUAUAUCUACCAGAUGUAAGGACGCCAUGGGACCAAGAAUAUCCAUUCGCGCUGAUGUCAGUUCCUCUAAGUAUAAGGGAUAUUUUAUGAUGAUCGCAAGACUGGAUAGGACUUAAUCCACGUCACUAAUCCAUGGGUUAGGAUCCUUGUGUAUGUGAUCACUCUAAUCCUACGGAUUGCUUCUUAGAGCAACUCCAGCCCAGCAUGCAAAUUGGGCCUCUACUUUUUCUAUUUGUAUGUUGGUCUGCAAAAAAUAAGGACCCAAAAUCCAUUGCAACUCUAGCCCAACACCCUAUUUCUCAAAGAAACUGUCCCGUCUGCUCCUACCCCGCACCGUCCGCUCCUACCCCACCCGGGCGCCGCCAGCAUCGGCGCCCGCUCGCCGCGCCGCCUGCAGCCUGCUCCGGCGCCAUGCUCGCACGCCGUCGGCCGCCCACCCUGGCUGUGUGCAGGUGCUGCUAGAGACGCAGAACCUCCGGGUGAAACGCGGAGCCUCCGGGCCAGGGGAAGCGCCUGCUCCGGCGCCCCACCCGCGCCCCGCACAAAGAGGAUGUUGUUGAUGCCGUCCUUGGCGGGGAGGUGGACGAGGAUGCGGCGGAGGAGGUCAUCGGGGCGGCCGCUGAUGUGAUCGGUUCCUCCGUCUUCCUCGGCGACGGCGGUGCUCCUGCUCCUGCACGUCGGCGCGCAGCGGCCCUCGAGCGUGGCCCAGUGUCGCGGCUGCAUGGCGGCUCGGGGCUGGGCAGCGGCGGCGGCGCGGUUCCGCCGUGUGCUACCGCGUGCGGGGUAGGGUGGGGAGGGGGGAAAGUGGGAUGGGUCUCACGAGUAGGGGGCUGCCAGAUCUGGGGGGCUCAAACUAAAAUUUAGGGGGACUUGUAAAAUAAGGGCUCAAGAGUUGAUUUUUUUUGUCAAAAUCUCUAAAAUUAAAUUUAGGAUAGGGAUUCAAUUCAAGUAGGGACCUGGAUUGGAGUUGCUCUUAACCUAUUAGAAGAAGAAGAGGACUAGAGGGAGGGGUUAGGACUGUUUGGUGUAAAAGUGAUGGAUUAUUACUGUUGUGUACAGUAGAUGUUUAUAUACAGAAGACGGUUAAUCUUUGGUGCCGAAAGGGCCUAUCCGAAAGGGCCUGUGCGGUUGUACCCCUCCGAAGGGGUCUGUACAGUUAUACUACCGAUGAUGUAAUUAGCACAUGCUAAUUAUAGAAUUACAAUAAUUGAUCACUAAUUAUUAUCCCUAAUAAUAAUUCUUAACACUCCCCCUUGAUCAAUUGAUCUUGUAUAGGCACCGUUAUUUGUCCGUCAGUAAAAUCUGGAAGCUUUGGAAAAACCCUGUGGGAAAAAUCCAAAGUAUGUUGAUAUACCAGGCAAAACUCCCUAAAACCCAGUGAGAAAAAUAAGGAGAAACACCAUGAUAUAUAUAAAAUCAAUGUUAAUAUACCCUUUAGAUGACCUAAAGACUUAGUCUAAAAACAAUUUGAUCAAAGAUCAAAAUGUCAAAUAUUAUCCUUGAAAAACCUCAAUGAGGAAAAAUAGAUAAUAUGACAAUUACCUUGUGUUACUAUUACCUCAUUAAAAACUUUAUGUGAGAAAGCUCUUAAUAGAGUAAAACUCAUAUAAAGGAAAAAGAGUAUAAUAUAAUGAUGAAGUAGAAUAUCUUUUAGAGAGAUUCUCCCCCUGAUCUUAGCAAAUCUUUAAGCUUUCUCAUACCAAUUCCAUCAACACAUUUCUUGAAUGUGGAGUAUGGUAGAGAUUUUGUGAAAAUAUCUGCUAGAUUAUCACAAGAUUUCGUUUGCAAGAUCUCUAUUUCUCCAUUCUUUUGGAGCUCAUGAGGGUAGAAUAAUUUGGGAAUAAUAUGCUUAGUCAUAUUACUCUUAAUAUAUCCUGACUCCAUCUGAGUAACACAAGCCGAAUUAUCUUCAAAGAUAAUCGUCGGUGUCUCAGCUAUACCAAUACCACAUGAUUGUGUUAUGUGGUGAAUUACUCUGCGAAGCCAUACGCAUUCGUGUGAUGCUUCAUAUAAAAGUAAUUAUUUCAGAGUGAUUGGUAGAGGUGGACGUUAAUGUCUGCUUUGAAGACUUCCAAGAUAUUGCUGUACCACCUUGUAAGAAAACAAAGCCCGCCUGGGAUCUACCAUGAUGUGGAUCUGAUAGAUAACCAGCGUAUGUAUAUCCUAACAAAAUUGUAUCUUGAUUUCUGCUAUAGAAUAAACCAAGAUCUUUUGUGCCAUUAAGGUAUCUAAAUAUCGUUUUGACUCCUACCCAAUGGCGUUUGGUAGGUGCAGCACUAUGUCUUGCCAGCAGAUUUACUUCAAAUGCAAUAUCCGGCCAGGUAUUGUUAGCAAGGUACAUUAGUGCUCCUAUGGCACUGAGAUAUGGGAAAUGUGGUCCCAAUAUCUCUUCAUCCUCUUCCCGAGGUCUGAAUGGAUCCUUUUCUACAUCUAAGGACCUUACUACCAUCGAUGUUUUUGUUGGAUAUGACUUGUCCAUAUUGAAUUUUUCCAAUAUCUUUUGGACAUAGGUAGAUUGGUAUACGAAUAUACCAGAAGGUAAGUGCUCAAGUUGUAUACCCAAGCAAAAUUUGGUUUGACCCAAAUCCUUCAUCUCAAACUCUAUCUUUAAAUGAUGACGUGCUUCAUCAAUAUCGGAUCCAUUGCCGAUAAUAUUGAGGUCAUCAACAUAAACUGAUAUAAUACAGAAUCCAGUUGAUGACUUCUUAAUGAAGACACAAGGGCAGUCAUCAUUAUUUGUGUAUCCCUUUAGCUUAAGGAAUUCACUUAACCGAUUGUACCACAUUCGGCCUGACUACCUUAAGCCAUAUAAUGACUUCUGCAACUUUACGCAAUACAUAUUGCGAUUUGCCUUAGGGUUCGGUAUACUGAUUCCAUCUGGAACCUUCAUGUAUAUAUUCGAAUCUAAUGACCCAUAUAAAUAUGCGGUCACGACGUCCAUCAACUGCAUAGAUAGACGAUUUUGUACUGCCAAUGCUAUUAAGUAUCGGAAUGUUAUUCCGCUCAUUACCGGAGAGUAAGUUUCGUUGAAAUCAACGCCAGGUCUUUGCGUAAAACCUUGUGCCACUAGCCUUGCUUUAUAUCUCACCACUUUGUUGUUUUCGUUCCUUUUGCUGACAAAAACCCAUUUGUAUCCCACAGGGAAGAUACCAGGAGGUGUUGGCAUUACAGCCGAAAACACUUCCCUUUUAUAAAGCGAGGCAAUCUCUGUUUGAAUUGCUAUCUUCCAGUUAUCCCACUCUGAGCGCUUUUUGCACUCAGCCAUGGACUUGGGAUCUGUAUCAGUUUGGAUGAUAUUUGCAAUUUCUUCAGAGAAAUAAAUGUCGACAAUUAUGGACUUAGGAUUGUAAGAUUCUCCAGUCUCAGCGAAAUUUAUAGAAAUUUCGUCUACCCUUAAAGAUUCAUCAUGAUUUUCCAAGAUGAUGGAUCGAGGGUUUUCAGUUGUUCCAGCCUCAGUGUUUAUGCGCAUAACUGAGCUAGUUGGCGGACAAUAUGUGUCCUUUAGGUGUCUUUGCUUGUCAAUAAUCAGAUCCUGUUUCUUGGAAGUGCUUCUCCCCCUCUUUUUACCAAAUUGGGGUUGAGUGGUUUUAUUAGGUACCUCCACUCGUUCAAGCACAUUCCUUGUAGGAUGUAGAGAUUUAGUGACACCUUUGUGAUCAAUGAAAGCGUCUGGCAGAUUAUUUGCAAUAUUUUGUAAAUCAAUGAUUCUUUGAACUUGUAGUUCAGUUUCUGUAGUACAUGGAUCAGUAAAUGAGAUGCCUUUAGCAUCCCAAUCUAUUUCCUGGCAUUCUUUUUGGUACAAUUCUCCCCCUAAUGCCGGGAAAUGAUCCUCAUUGAAAAUACUAUCAGCAAACCGGGCAGUAAAUAGAUCCCCUGUAAGAGGUUCUAAGUACUUAAUAAUUGACGGAGAUGAGUAUCUAAUAUAGAUACCCAAUUUACUGUGUGGGCCCAUUGAUGUUCGUUGAGGUGGUGAGAUGGGUACGUAUACAGCGCACCCAAACUUACGCAAAUGGGAAAUACUCGGAGGAUUCCCACGUACUAAUUGCAUUGGGGAGGUUUCGUGAUAUGUAGUUGGUCGUAGUUGGAUUAGGUCUGCAGCGUGCAGGACUGCAUGACCCCAACAUGAGGUAGGCAAUUUGCAAUUCAUUAAUAAUGGUCGUGCAAUUAGCUUGAUUCUUUUAAUCAACAAUUCAGCCAAACCAUUUUGUGUAUAGACGUAGGGAACUGAAUGCUGGACCUGAAUUCCCAAUGCCAUGCAAUAAUCAUUGAAAGCACGGGAUGAGAAUUCAGCAGCAUUGUCCAUUCGAAUUGAUUGAAUCCGAUGUUCAGGAUAAUGAGCUUUCAACUUAAUGAGUUGAGCCAUUAUUUUGGCAAAAGCAUGGUUGCGUGUGGAUAAAAGACACACGUAAGACCAUCUAGUGGAUGCGUCUAUUAAAACCAUGAAAUACCUGAACGGCCCCGAUAAUGGUUGAAUCGGACCACAAAUAUCUCCUUGAAUUCGUCCAAGGAAUUUAAGUGGUUCAGCUCGUAUUUUAAGAUGUGAUGGUCUUAAAAUUAAUUUCUCCGUAGCACAAGCAGUGCAGCAAAAAUCUUUAUUUUAGGGAAAUCUUGCUUUUUCCAUGUCAUGACCAGUAGAAUUGCUAAUAAUUUUCCUCAUCAUCCCUAUCCCAGGAUGCCCAAGUCGAUCAUGCCAGUUACGGAAUGUAUCGACAUCUCAGAAAACUAUUUUGUAGGCAAUAUGUUCUACAGGUUUUAUGUAUGUGAAAUACAAUCCAUGUUGGAGUGAAGAAAUCUUUUCGCAAAUUCGUUUGCCAAAUGCCGUAAGUUUGGUAAAGAGAAGAUAUUCCUCUUUACUGUCUUCAUGUGUUUCCACAUGAAAACCAUUCUUACGGAUGUCUCUAAAACUUAGAAGGGUACGAGUUGAUUCGGGAUACAACAAUGCAUCAUCUAUCGUAAUCUGUGUACCCAUUGGGAGAGUAAUAGUGGCUCGUCCAGAACCAACUAUUAACGCAUCAUGACCAGCAAUAGUCAAGAUGUUUCCUUCUCUUUUCUUAAGAGUUUGGAAAUAUUUAAUUUCUCUAAGUAUAGAAUUUGUGGCCCCUGAGUCCACAAUACAUAAUUCUUCCUCCAGUGGAUUGAGUUCAUCAGACAUCUAUAUGUAUAGUAAAGAAAAUAAAUACUAUAAAUGAAUCAAACAAGUAUAUAAUAAUAUAUUGAAUAUCAAGUAUGAUAUGUUACAAUAUGAAAAACUUGAUACAAACUUGAUCUAACAAAACAAGUAUGUACAAUUCACAAGCACACAAAAUAUAAGAUAUGUCUUAGACUAAUUACAACACUAUAUAUAUAGGGAUAUAUAUAUAUCUAUUAUGAUAUCAAGUUCCAGACUAUGAGAUUAUUCUAAAUCUCCAAACAUGUCUCCAGAUUCGAAAUCUAUGAGCAUGGUGUCUGUCGAUGGCAUUUUCUCUUCAAUAUUGAGAGAUUUACUACGAGUUUGUUCCUUAGGGGCUAUUUUGGAACAACUCGCUUCCUUGUUAGCCUCAGUUGCAAGAUUGAAGUGUGCUUCAUAUUUCUUAUCUCCUGCAGGCUUAGCCUCUUUUAAGGACUUUUGGUACAAAGCAACUAAAUGCUUUGGGGUACAACAAUUCUUGGCCAAAUGCAAAAAAUCUCCACAUCUAUGACACUUGUUGUUAUUUUUGGGAGCUUUUGCAUUGUCCUUGUUCUUCUUGUUGUGAUUAAACCUUUGCUUUUUGUUGAAUUUGUGUUUACCAAAUUUGUUCUUCAGAAACUUUCCUUUGAACUUAUUCUUAGGCUUUUCCUGUACAUUAUGAAUCUUAGGUAGAGGCGCUGAACCAACAGGGCACUUAUGAUGAUUCUUUAAAAGAAGUUCAUCAUGUUUUUCUGCCUGAGUUAAUGUAUGGAUAAGCUGAGAAUAUGCUUGGUAAUUAUGAGCCCUGUAUUGCUGUUGCAAUACUCUAUCAGAUGGGAGCAUGGUAGAGAGUGUUUUCUCUAUCUUGUCUUUAUCUAAUGGCUCUUUUUCGCAAAACUUCAACUUAGAGCAAAUUUUAUAAACAGCAUGGUUAUAAUCUGCCACAGAUUUGAAAUCUUGGAGGGCUAAAACAGUCUAUCCAUUUAUUUAUUUACUACUACUACUGAAAGAAAUAAGAAAGAAAAGAAAGAAAAAAAUUAGCCAUGGGGGUGGCCUAACAGCCGGCCAGGCGCGGCCCAGCCGAGGCCAGGGCGCGGCCCAGCCGGCUGAGUGGCCCGCCAAGGAGCCGCUGCAGUAUAAAAGCCUACGGUUAGGGUUGGAACCCUAACUGCCCAGCCCAACUGCCUGGCCGCCGCCCCCAGCCGCCGGCGCGCCGCCGCCAUCUGCCCCUGCCGCCGCCGCCCGACCGCCUGCGCCGCGCCAACCGCCUUCGCCGCGUAUUGUCCUCUGCGAGCCGGAGGCGGCGGAGCCUCCCCCCCCCAACCGACCCCACCGCCGGCGUUUAGGAGCGGCCGGUCGCCUCCUCCUUCACUGAGGAGGAGACAAAACCAGCGCCGAGGGCGCUUCGGUGUCCAUCACGGUGUGCAGCCGUGACGGCGGCGUAGGAGCGGCCUCGGGUCGAUGGUGGCCUGAUCGGAGAGAGCGCCGGCGGGCUUGGAGGAAGGUUGAGUGCGACGUUGAAGGUCGGCCACCGGCGUUCAGUCCGGUGGUGAGGUGGCGGCGAAGGGGAAUACGGUGCUGGCCAAUGUCCCUGAGGACGCGGUGGAUGGCGCCCUGGAGGAAGAACCUGCGGACUCCUCCAAGGUGGCUGUUGCCACGGGCGAUGGCUGCCUCAACGGCGUCGGUGACCGCGUCGACCAUGGCAUUCAUGGAGAGGAGUGGAGGGGUCGUCAUCUUCUACCUCUCCGGUGAGUCUCCGGUGGAACUCCGGUGAACUCUUUCUCGGCCUUUUUAGCGUCAGCGAGGGCAGAACUUCGUGUUGAUAACAUGUUUGGUGUAAAAGUGAUGGAUAAGACGGUUAAUCUUUGGUGCGAAAGGGCCUAUCCGAAAGGGCCUGUGCGGUUGUAUCCCUAGGGUUUAGGGUUUAGGGUUUCCGAAGUGUCUGUACAGUUAUACUAUCGAUGAUGUAAUUAGCACAUGCUAAUUACAGAAUUACAAUAAUUGAUCACUAAUUAUUAUCCCUAAUAAUAAUUCUUAACAAGGACUUACGGAGAAACAAAGAAGGAGGUGGGCCGGGUGCUCUCGGCCAAUCCGACCGGGUGCUCUCGGCCAAUCCGAAUAAGCAUUGGCGGCCGGCCGUUCGUCGGGCCCCCGCCGGCUCGUUGCUGAGUAGAGGAGCAGAUCGACUGCUCCUCGAUGGAGCUAUUCGCUCGCCUUGCCGGCGGCGGCAUGGGCUGCCUUUGCGUCGAUCGUGCCCCUGCCGUCGUAUUUAUAGCCUGAAGAGGAUCGCAACGGGCGCGCAUGGAUGAUGCGGUGAUCGGUCAGGCUUUCGAUGCGGUGGCGUUUUCAUCCUCGCCGGCCGGCUCGGUGCGCGCGGCCGCCGGGCGGUUGCUGACCCGGGCAAAACGAACACGGGCAUGCAUAUGGCUGUUGGCUGAUCGAUCGCUGAUGCGCUUUGUUGACCUGGUUCCAUGCUUGCCGAGUUGCCGUUGCAUUUCAUCCACUUGCAUGCAACGGCCGAUCGAUACGAUCGAGCAACGCUAUGGCAUAUGGGUAAUGGCAUCUUUGGAUGUAGUUAGAUUUACUUUAAUUUAUGUGUUGGUGUAGGUUGUGGUAGAAUUUAGUUCAAGUUUCACUCUAAUCUACCUCAACACAUAUGGAUUGAUGUGCUGACUACAUCAAACAAAACCUUAGUUGAUUCAUUUUUUUUCCUCUGAAUUAUGCUACAGACUCCGGCGGCUUAGGGCACUUUCAAUGCAAAAACCAUCGUAGUCUAGACAUUAAUUAUAGUAACAUCUAAGGAUUUUACUAUAUGGUAAGAGAUUUAUUGAAAAAAGAGAGCAAAAAUAUAGAAACUGAGUCUAAGUUAGAAACCAUGUCUACACAAAAUUCAAGACAUGAAGUGAUAUGAUUGGUUAAGAAUUAAGAGAGAAUGAAUGUGAUUGGGUAAAAAAUAUUCUAUAGAAAACAAGAAAAUUUGCUAAGUGUCAUAUACUUUGUUGAGUGUCAAAUGUCGGUCACUCGGCAAAAAGGCUCUUUGCUGAGUGUUGCACUCGGCAAAGUAUGACACUCAGCAUAUAUUGGCACUCGGCACAGAGCCUCUUUACCGAGUGCCAGACACUCGACAAAGGUUGACCCUCGGCAAUGGUUGACAGUGGUGUCGAGUGCCUUAGUCUGACACUCGGCAAAGAGAAUAUUUUUUGCCUCCAAACUUUUUCUACUGUCUUUACACUUUUAUUUUGAAGUGCAUGUUCAAAUUUGGCACAGUUCUCGAAACAUUUUCUAUAUAUCUUUCAUUUUUUUCAUUUAGACGUAUUUUCUCUGAAAAUACAAUAUUGAAUUGCAUGUGCAUUGAAUCAUAGAAUUCGAUGAUUGGAAAAAUGGUAUUCAAGAUACUUAUUGUAGUUUGAGGCCUUUUUCAGGAGCACGCUCGAAAUUUCAAAAGUAUUAUACACGAAACAUGGCGACAAAGUUGCGGAAGAAAUGCAUUUUAAUUAUAUAAAUUGCAAAUGAAGUCUGAAAAUUUUAAAACCUGGCGAAAUGUCUUUACAUCAUAUGUGGACCCUAUGAAAAAAAUUAGAGAAUUUUUUGCAAAAGUUAUCACGUACGUUAGUUAUAAACCUACACUUGUCUUUGUCGAGUUCGCGAUAAAAGGCACUCAACAAAGAACCAUUUACCGAUAAAAAAUUUGUCGAGGGCCCUUUGCCGAGUGUAAUUGUGUCUUUGCUGAGUGCCUACGACACUCGGCAAAGCAGCUAUUUCCUGUAGUGUUUCAUAUGUAAAAUUAUUUUAUUAUAUCUUUAUUGGCACAAAACAGCUCGCAAGCAAAACUAUAGAAGAAGUUGUCGCUAUAGAUGGCCAUGCAGCUCGAGGCACGACGACUCAGCCCACAGCACGACAUUUUGGCCCAGUCCGAGCACGGCCCAGCCCGGCAACUUAUGGGCCUGGGCCGGUGGUGUGGGCCAUGCUUAGGCUGACCUCUGAGCCCGCGGGCUGGCCCGAGUUUUAGGGGUCGGCCCGGCAACGGCCCGGGGCCACCUCCGCGGGCAUUGCAUAAUCAACUCAUUUUUAUGUUAUAUAUCUUUUGAUGUCAUUUCUAUGAUCUAAGAGUGAGGUUGUGAAUCUGAGAAGUUGAGAGUUGUAAAAAAUUGAUUGUGGCAUUAUGCUGGUGAAGUGACCAUUGUCAUUCUGUCAUUGUGUGGUUAUUUUAAUUUUUUUUUUACAAAAACAGGCUAUGGGCCGGCCCGGCUCGUCGGGCUAUGCGGGCCGGCACGACACAAAGUCAGUCCGUGGGCCCGUGCUUGGACCGAAGGCUAGGCACGCAGGCUGCUGAGGCACGACACGACACGACAGACACGCAGGCCAAGUUAGCACGACACGCUACGGCCUGGGCCGGGCCGGCUCGGCCCGACCCGAUGGCCAUCUAUAGUUGUCGCUCGUCUUUCCAACAUCAUUUCACAGUUUGGAAACGUAGAGAGCUUGAAGUACUGCUACAACAAGACUACAAGAGUAGAAAAUAGAUAGAAGACAACAGAUAUACUACCUCCGUCUUAAAAUAAAUCAAUUUAUAAAAAUUAUCCAAAGUCAAAAUAUCUUAUUUACCCAAUUUUAUAGAAAAGGAAGGUAACAUCUAUGACCCCAAAUAAAUAUACUAAGAAAAUAUAUUUCAUGAUACAUAUCUAGUGAUACUAAUUUAAUAUUAUAAAUAUAUAUAAAUUUCCUUAUAAAGACGAUUAUUUUUAAAAUAGUUUGACUUAAGACAAUUUUAAAAGUUGAUUUAAUUUGAGGCUGAGAGGAUAUCGGAUAUAUAUAAAACGAUCUUAAAGUUUAACCUUUGCGCAAUGAAAAUAUUGGGUAAAUUAUCGGUAUAUAAAUUGAUAGUUUUAUUUUAGAUGAUAAUUUCUAGAACCUGAGAAUCUAUGCAAGUUUUUUCUUUUGAUGAUGUCAAAUACUAAGAUAAUACAGUAGUGUCGUGUCGAUCCCUGUCAGGUUGUCACCAUGUGCUACGUUACCCUGUGGAAGGGCAUGGCCGCAUGGUGACACGAUGCCAAGUACAGUGAUUGACUCCACGGCCGGCCAAGACACUGACUGCUUCAAGGUCAAGUCAACCGUCCAGGCAAUGUGCAACAGAAUUUGGCCCGUGUUUACUUUCUGAGCGAAAAAUUUUAUGGCACUGUAGCAUUUUUGUUUGUUUAUGAAAAUUAUUGUCCAAUCAUGGACUAAUUAGGCUCAAAAGAUUCGUCUCGUAAAUUUCGACCAAAUUGUAUAAUUAGUUUUUAUUUUCAUCUAUAUUUAAUACUCCAUGCAUGCGUCUAAAGAUUCGAUGUAACGGAGAAUCUUGAAAAAUUUUGUGUUUUUAGGUGGAAGUAAACAAAGCCUGGCCUGCCGUGUAAUCGCCGGCGUUUUCAUUGCCGUGGCUUGACCUCUUUUAUCGCCAUUGCCGACCAAUCACUCCACAGGAUUGGUGCUGCAGAAAUGGUGUCCUCAGUCGGAGUGUUGAGGCUGCUACCAUGGCUGGCACUGGCAGCGGUGCUUCUGCCACCUCCACCUGCGGCGUCGCAGCAGCCGCCGGCGAGGGGAUGCCGGCAGCAGUGCGGCAACGUGACCGUCCCCUACCCGUUCGGCAUCGGCGCGGGCUGCCACCGCGGCGCGCCCACGGGGGGCUUCCGGCUCCAGUGCGACGACGCCGGCGCCGGCGUCGGCCGCGGACACCCGCCGCGGCUCACCGUGUCCGGCUACGGCCACGAGGUCGCCGCCAUCUCGCUGGCGACGGCCGAGGCCACCGUGCUCCUCAACGCCAGCCGCGCGUGCUACGACCGCCCGGGCGACGCCGACGGCUGCGUCGUCAGCCUCCGGGAGCAACCCAUGGCGCUCAACGGCAGCGCGUUCCUCUUCUCGUCGAUGAAGAGCAAGUUCGUGUCCAUCGGCUGCCCCGGCAUCGCCUACUUCAACGACGGCGACGGGUACUACGUCACGGGGUGCAUGUCCGUGUGCCGGCCGUCGGACCGCGCGCUGCCGGGGUCGUGCCGCGGCGACGACGGCUGCUGCCAGAGCAACAUCCCGCUCGGGCUCAACUCCUACCGCCCCUACCUCGGCAGCUUCGGCCGCCGGCGCCGCGGCCGGAGACGAGACCAGGAAGCGACGUUCCUGGCCAACUCCACCGCCUGCUCCUACGCGUUCAUGGUGGACGCGAUGUGGUUCUGGCUCGCCGGGUCGCACUUCAACCGCACCGGCGACUUCGUC
RNAcentral lists this long non-coding RNA (20983 nucleotides) under Sorghum bicolor (sorghum). RNAcentral describes it as "long non-coding RNA (SBIC_LNC013564)". The record is from RNAcentral. Lineage: Eukaryota; Viridiplantae; Streptophyta; Magnoliopsida; Poales; Poaceae.